GGAUUCCCCCAGUAGCGGCGAGCGAAAGGGACCAGCCCAAUAGCCGAAUCCCGCGCCCCUUGGGCGUCGGGAAAUGUGGCGUAUGGGAGUUGAGAUCCAUUCCGCGCGCGGAGGGCGGCCCAAGUCCCCAUGAACGGGGCCAASACCGGAGCGGGUGCGASUCCCGUACGGCCGUCCUUUGCGCGUUGAUCGGCGUUCUCCCGGGAGUCGGGUUGCUUGAAAGUGCASCCCAAAGKGGGKGGUAUGCUCCACCUAAGGCUAAAUAUCCCCGARAGACCGAUAGCAAAAAAGUACCGUGAGGGAAAGUUGAAAAGAACUUUGAAGAGAGAGUUCAAUAKUACGUGAAACCGCUUAGAGGGAAACGGGUGGSCCCUCGAAGUCUGAAGGCGGAACGGUUCGUUGGGGCCUGCGGGCACCGGCACACUCCUGUUCCGCCGGUAAGAGGCCGCGACUGGUCGGUCGAGGGUCGGAAGGACGGCCGGGCGAAAAGGUGGCCCGCCCCC
Molecule: ribosomal RNA, 503 nt
Filed under: Tyrannochthonius sp. 3563
Lineage: Eukaryota; Metazoa; Arthropoda; Arachnida; Pseudoscorpiones; Chthoniidae
Description: partial large subunit ribosomal RNA
Source: RNAcentral